This 253-nucleotide ribosomal RNA is filed under the name uncultured bacterium. Its description in RNAcentral is "partial 16S ribosomal RNA". It matches the Rfam family "Bacterial small subunit ribosomal RNA", at positions 524 to 776 of the family's 1533-position model. The record is from RNAcentral.
UACAGAGGGUGCGAGCGUUGUCCGGAAUCACUGGGCGUAAAGGGCGCGUAGGCGGUGACUUAAGCGUGUGGUGAAAGCUCGGGGCUCAACCCCGAGUCGGCCGUGCGAACUGGGUCACUGGAGCAUGUCAGAGGCAGGCGGAAUUCCGGGUGUAGCGGUGGAAUGCGUAGAGAUCGGGAAGAACACCGGUGGCGAAGGCGGCCUGCUGGGACAUUACUGACGCUGAGGCGCGACAGCGUGGGGAGCAAACAGG